AGCAGCAUGGCGCAGAGGUAGCGCGCAGGGCCCAUAGAUGCUGGGAUUGCAGUAAACUGCGGAUUACCGCUGCGCUAAGGCCACCCUGAGGUCACUCGAUCGAAACGAGUUGCUGCUA
Molecule: non-coding RNA, 118 nt
Organism: Crepidotus variabilis
Lineage: Eukaryota; Fungi; Basidiomycota; Agaricomycetes; Agaricales; Crepidotaceae
Source: the annotation of a GenBank genome assembly